RNAcentral lists this unclassified non-coding RNA (363 nucleotides) under fungal sp. Its description in RNAcentral is "partial internal transcribed spacer region". The stretch from base 1 to 46 matches the Rfam family "Eukaryotic small subunit ribosomal RNA", at positions 1786 to 1831 of the family's 1831-position model. Lineage: Eukaryota; Fungi. The record is from RNAcentral.
AAGUCGUAACAAGGUUUCCGUAGGUGAACCUGCGGAAGGAUCAUUAACACGUAUCCAAACGUUAAAACCCCCCCCGUGAACCUUCAUCCUGCUCUUGUAACCCGCGUAGGUCGCAAUCUCUGAUAAAGCAUAGCCCGGAAAGUUGUAGUGAUUCAGAGACCUCCCCAAGCAGUCAGUGUUGGAAAGUGUCAUUGAUUGUGCAAGGAUAGCGCUUCUACGAUUCCUGUAGACCGUACACUCGGGCAGGAGCUUUGCCAAAGGGUCCCCAUGCCCCCUAAUAACCCCACAGUUUAAUGUGAAGCUCAAUGUAAUACAUUGGGUAAAAAAACCGAACAACUGUUAACAAUGGAUAUCUUGGUUCUC